GGGGUCGUUAUGGAUUCGACGGGUAUGGUUCGAACUUGAACUGCAUUCCGUACUGCGAUGCGUUAAAUCGUUCAGUUUAAAUUAUAACUGCAAAAAAUAAUAACAAUUCUUACGCCUUAGCUGCCUAAACACCAGCUGACGUAGAUCCAACUAGCUUCGUCCAUGGGUUAGACCUGGGUCCUAAAUUAAGUGGACUUACGCUUGUCUGUCUCCACCUGGGGCAGGAAGAAGAGUUUAAUCAGGUUAGCUUUUCAUAUUAGCCUUGGUUAAUGGC
Molecule: transfer-messenger RNA, 274 nt
Filed under: Fructilactobacillus myrtifloralis
Lineage: Bacteria; Bacillati; Bacillota; Bacilli; Lactobacillales; Lactobacillaceae
Description: Fructilactobacillus sp. KI16_H9 partial transfer-messenger RNA
Rfam family: transfer-messenger RNA
About the family: Bacterial tmRNA, also known as 10Sa RNA or SsrA, is named for its dual tRNA and mRNA-like properties. Its role is to liberate the mRNA from a stalled ribosome. To accomplish this part of the tmRNA is used as a reading frame that ends in a translation stop signal.
Source: RNAcentral